Molecule: long non-coding RNA, 231 nt
Filed under: Lathyrus oleraceus (garden pea)
Lineage: Eukaryota; Viridiplantae; Streptophyta; Magnoliopsida; Fabales; Fabaceae
Description: Pisum sativum (pea) long non-coding RNA (PSAT_LNC001041)
Source: RNAcentral
UCCUUUUCACGUGAAAAAAAUAACCCUUUUUACAAAUGAGACAUUUUCUAAUUCCAACUCUUAUUCCAAUAAAAUAAUAACCCAAUAAUAAUAUUCCAAUUAUUUAAUUAAAUUAAUAAAUGUAUUAUUAACUUAAAUUAAAUAAUUAUCUUAUUUUAUCGGGGUGUUACAACUCUCCCCCACUAAAAGAGUUUUCGUCCUCGAAAACAUACCUCAAGCGAAUAACUCUGG